GACGAACGCUGGCGGCGUGCUUAACACAUGCAAGUCGAACGGAAAGGCCCUGCUUGCAGGGUACUCGAGUGGCGAACGGGUGAGUAACACGUGGGUGAUCUGCCCUGCACUUCGGGAUAAGCCUGGGAAACUGGGUCUAAUACCGGAUAGGAGCCAUUUUUAGUGUGAUGGUUGGAAAGUUUUUUCGGUGUAGGAUGAGCUCGCGGCCUAUCAGCUUGUUGGUGGGGUAAUGGCCUACCAAGGCGGCGACGGGUAGCUGGCCUGAGAGGGUGGACGGCCACAUUGGGACUGAGAUACGGCCCAGACUCCUACGGGAGGCAGCAGGGGGGAAGAUUGCACAAUGGGCGCAAGCCUGAUGCAGCGACGCCGCGUGGGGGAUGACGGCCUUCGGGUUGAAAACUCCUUUCGCUAGGGACGAAGCUUUUUGUGACGGUACCUAGAUAAGAAGCACCGGCUAACUACGUG
RNAcentral lists this ribosomal RNA (465 nucleotides) under uncultured bacterium. Its description in RNAcentral is "partial 16S ribosomal RNA". It matches the Rfam family "Bacterial small subunit ribosomal RNA", at positions 28 to 507 of the family's 1533-position model. The record is from RNAcentral.